AGAGUUUGAUCCUGGCUCAGAUUGAACGCUGGCGGAAUGCUUUACACAUGCAAGUCGAACGGCAGCACGGGAGCUUGCUCCUGGUGGCGAGUGGCGAACGGGUGAGUAAUAUAUCGGAACGUAUCCAAUAAUGGGGGAUAACUAGUCGAAAGAUUAGCUAAUACCGCAUACGCCCUGAGGGGGAAAGCUGGGGAUCUUCGGACCUAGCGUUAAUGGAGCGGCCGAUAUCUGAUUAGCUAGUAGGUGAGGUAAAAGCUCACCUAGGCGACGAUCAGUAGCUGGUCUGAGAGGACGACCAGCCACACUGGAACUGAGACACGGUCCAGACUCCUACGGGAGGCAGCAGUGGGGAAUUUUGGACAAUGGGCGCAAGCCUGAUCCAGCCAUUCCGCGUGAGUGAAGAAGGCCUUCGGG
RNAcentral lists this ribosomal RNA (414 nucleotides) under uncultured bacterium. RNAcentral describes it as "bacterial SSU rRNA". It matches the Rfam family "Bacterial small subunit ribosomal RNA", at positions 8 to 422 of the family's 1533-position model. The record is from RNAcentral.